This 471-nucleotide ribosomal RNA is filed under the name uncultured bacterium. RNAcentral describes it as "bacterial SSU rRNA". It matches the Rfam family "Bacterial small subunit ribosomal RNA", at positions 335 to 799 of the family's 1533-position model. The record is from RNAcentral.
ACUCCUACGGGAGGCAGCAGUGGGGAAUAUUGCACAAUGGGCGCAAGCCUGAUGCAGCCAUGCCGCGUGUAUGAAGAAGGCCUUCGGGUUGUAAAGUACUUUCAGCAGUGAGGAAGGUGGAUAUGUUAAUAGCAUAUUCAUUUGACGUUAGCUGCAGAAGAAGCACCGGCUAACUCCGUGCCAGCAGCCGCGGUAAUACGGAGGGUGCGAGCGUUAAUCGGAAUUACUGGGCGUAAAGCGCAUGCAGGUGGUUUGUUAAGUCAGAUGUGAAAGCCCGGGGCUCAACCUCGGAAUUGCAUUUGAAACUGGCAAACUAGAGUACUGUAGAGGGGGGUAGAAUUUCAGGUGUAGCGGUGAAAUGCGUAGAGAUCUGAAGGAAUACCGGUGGCGAAGGCGGCCCCCUGGACAGAUACUGACACUCAGAUGCGAAAGCGUGGGGAGCAAACAGGAUUAGAUACCUGGUAGGCGUAG